This 68-nucleotide transfer RNA is filed under the name Marmota monax (woodchuck). RNAcentral describes it as "tRNA.Ala". Lineage: Eukaryota; Metazoa; Chordata; Mammalia; Rodentia; Sciuridae. The record is from RNAcentral.
GCGGUAGUUCAGUGGCAGAGUGCUUGCCUAGCAUGUGUGAGGCACUGAGUUCGAUCCUUAGCACUGCA